Molecule: ribosomal RNA, 546 nt
Filed under: Prochlorococcaceae cyanobacterium ETNP14_MAG_5
Lineage: Bacteria; Bacillati; Cyanobacteriota; Cyanophyceae; Synechococcales; Prochlorococcaceae
Description: bacterial SSU rRNA
Rfam family: Bacterial small subunit ribosomal RNA
Source: RNAcentral
ACUACGGAGAGUUUGAUCCUGGCUCAGGAUGAACGCUGGCGGCGUGCUUAACACAUGCAAGUCGAACGAACCUUCGGGUUAGUGGCGGACGGGUGAGUAACGCGUGGGAAUCUGCCCUCAGGAGGGGGAUAACGGUUGGAAACGACCGCUAAUACCCCAUAUGCCGAGAGGUGAAAUGAAUUUCGCCUGAGGAUGAGCCCGCGUCUGAUUAGCUUGUUGGUGAGGUAAUGGCUCACCAAGGCUUCGAUCAGUAGCUGGUCUGAGAGGAUGAUCAGCCACACUGGGACNNNNNNNNNNGGGACGAAGGCCUCUGGGCUGUAAACCUCUUUUCUCAAGGAAGAAGAUAUGACGGUACUUGAGGAAUAAGCCACGGCUAAUUCCGUGCCAGCAGCCGCGGUAAUACGGGAGUGGCAAGCGUUAUCCGGAAUUAUUGGGCGUAAAGCGUCCGUAGGCGGCUUUUCAAGUCUGCUGUUAAAACGUGGAGCUUAACUCCAUCAUGGCAGUGGAAACUGUUGGGCUUGAGUGUGGUAGGGGCAGAGGGAAUUC